AGCGGCGGACGGGUGAGUAACGCGUAGGAAUCUACCUAGUAGAAGGGGAUAGCCCGGGGAAACUCGGAUUAAUACCGUAUACCUCCUAAGGGAGAAAGAGGGCCUCUCUUGAUGCUCUCGCUAUUAGAUGAGCCUGCGUAAGAUUAGCUUGUUGGUAAGGUAAUGGCUUACCAAGGCUACGAUCUUUAGCUGGUCUGAGAGGACGAUCAGCCACAUUGGGACUGAGACACGGCCCAGACUCCUACGGGAGGCAGCAGUGGGGAAUAUUGGACAAUGGGCGCAAGCCUGAUCCAGCCAUACCGCGUGUGUGAAGAAGGCCUUCGGGUUGUAAAGCACUUUAAGCAGGGAGAAGAAGCAAUAAGUUAAUACCUUAUUGCCGUGAUGUUACCUGCAGAAUAAGCACCGGCUAAUUCCGUGCCAGCAGCCGCGGUAAUACGGAAGGUGCAAGCGUUAAUCGGAAUUACUGGGCGUAAAGCGCGCGUAGGUGGUUUGUUAAGUUGGAUGUGAAAGCCCUGGGCUCAACCUAGGAACUGCAUCCAAAACUAACUCACUAGAGUACGAUAGAGGGAGGUAGAAUUCAUAGUGUAGCGGUGGAAUGCGUAGAUAUUAUGAAGAAUACCAGUGGCGAAGGCGGCCUCCUGGAUCUGUACUGACACUAAGGUGCGAAAGCGUGGGUAGCGAACAGGA
Molecule: ribosomal RNA, 687 nt
Filed under: uncultured marine bacterium
Lineage: Bacteria
Description: bacterial SSU rRNA
Rfam family: Bacterial small subunit ribosomal RNA
Source: RNAcentral